GUAGAAACGCGGUUUCACCCUGUCAGCCUGGAUGGCCUCGAUAUCCUGACCUCAUGAUCCACCCGCCUCAGCCUCCCAAAGUGCUGGGAUUACAGGCGUGAGCCACCCUGCCCAGCCUUUUCAAAGCCUUUAAUAAGAAAAUGUUUCCUGUGAGUAAAUCUCAGGGUAGUGUUUUGGUGGGGAGGAUGCCUCCAAGAGAUGGGGAUGUGGAGCCAGGAUGAGGUAAGGACAGACUACGCUAAAAUUUCCAAAUGUGUUUGAUUAUUUUAUUCCCUUGGCAAAACAUCUUGUAAGACUGAUGCUCUAUGGAUUACAGUUUGUGAAAUAUGUGUCUAAAUUAUGACAGUAAAAACAAUAAAAUAAUUUUCAGGGAGUUUACCAUGAGAACUGCUAAAUAUAUUGAUUCGAUAUCACCACGUAGACAUAAAAAUGCUGUUUUCUAAGAGAAGGUUAUAAUAAGACUAGUGUAAGUUGGUAUCAGUUAAUAUUAUCUGAAAUGAUUGCUCGAGGCACAUUUCCUUUUCUUUGCCUUUUUUCCCAUCUCUAUGUUUCUUUUUUCUUCUAUGGUGCCCUGAGUCUAUCAGUUCAUCAGGUACCACUUAGUCAUCUAGGAAAAUGGAGAAAUUGUUUCACAUUUAGAAUACCAGGAACAGUUUUUUGUAGAGACUUGAUGUUUCUGAAUAGCUCAUCAGUUUGCUCAAAUUUUAGGUUGAUAAAAUUUUUAAAAAAGGUAUUGAAAGGUCAACAUUAAACUAACAACAUUUUAUUUUGUCAGAUAAGAACACGGCUAUUGUAAAGAUGGUGAAUACGUAUGCAUCUUGUGUUGCUCUAAAAGAUCCUGAGGCUGAAUAACUUAUAAAGAAAAAAGGUUAUUUGGCUCACAAUUCUGAAGGUCAGAAAAUUCAAGAUUGGAUGCCUGCAUCUGGAGAGGGCCUGCUUUCACUCACAAUGGAAGGUAAAAGGGAGCUGUGUGCAGAGAGCACAUGGGGAGAGAGAAAGCAAGGGAAAGGGGAGGAAGAUGCUAGGCUUUUUUGUUAACAACCUGGAACAGUGAGAACUCAUUCACUCCUCCCUCCAUCCAGCCCCUCAGGAUAC
Molecule: long non-coding RNA, 1095 nt
Filed under: Homo sapiens (human)
Lineage: Eukaryota; Metazoa; Chordata; Mammalia; Primates; Hominidae
Description: non-protein coding lnc-ARL4A-9:1
Source: RNAcentral